UACGAAGGACCCAAGCGUUCUCCGGAUUUAUUGGGUUUAAAGGGUGCGUAGGCGGAUUAUUAAGUCAGUGGUGAAAGCCUGCAGCUUAACUGCAGAACUGCCAUUGAUACUGAUGAUCUUGAGUAUGAUUGAGGUGGGCGGAAUGUGUCAUGUAGCGGUGAAAUGCUUAGAUAUGACACAGAACACCGAUUGCGAAGGCAGCUCACUAAGCCAUAACUGACGCUGAUGCACGAAAGCGUGGGGAGCAAACAGG
Molecule: ribosomal RNA, 253 nt
Filed under: uncultured bacterium
Lineage: Bacteria
Description: partial 16S ribosomal RNA
Rfam family: Bacterial small subunit ribosomal RNA
Source: RNAcentral